This 151-nucleotide non-coding RNA is filed under the name chicken gut metagenome. RNAcentral describes it as "glmS glucosamine-6-phosphate activated ribozyme". It matches the Rfam family "glmS glucosamine-6-phosphate activated ribozyme aptamer". From Rfam's summary of the family: This entry contains a glucosamine-6-phosphate activated ribozyme that is found in the mRNA for GlmS. GlmS is an enzyme that uses fructose-6-phosphate and glutamine to generate glucosamine-6-phosphate. The ribozyme catalyses self cleavage of the glmS mRNA that is thought to regulate GlmS activity. The record is from RNAcentral.
AUAAAUAAAGCGCCAGAACAUUAAAAUUAAUAUAUUUUAAUGUUGACGAGGUCUAGAGUUAUCGAAGUUUUCGGCGGAUGCUCUAGUGGUUUCCUAAAAUCAAAAGUAUUCACACAAAAAUAGCAGUAAUGCUUUAACAAAACUGAAUACA